This 624-nucleotide ribosomal RNA is filed under the name uncultured archaeon. Its description in RNAcentral is "bacterial SSU rRNA". It matches the Rfam family "Archaeal small subunit ribosomal RNA", at positions 186 to 815 of the family's 1478-position model. The record is from RNAcentral.
CUGAAAGUUGCGGCGCCAUAGGAUGAAUUUGCGGCCGAUUAGGUAGUUGUUGGGGUAACGGCCCAACAAGCCCGUAAUCGGUACGGGUUGUGGGAGCAAGAGCCCGGAGAUGGAAUCUGAGACACGAUUCCAGGCCCUACGGGGCGCAGCAGGCGCGAAAACUUUACAAUGCAGGAAACUGUGAUAAGGGAACCCCGAGUGCCCGUAAACGCGGGCUGUCCCGGUGUUUAAAACACAUCGGAAGAAAGGGCCGGGCAAGACCGGUGCCAGCCGCCGCGGUAAUACCGGCGGCUCGAGUGGUGACCACUUUUAUUGGGCUUAAAGCGUUCGUAGCUUGAUUUUUAAGUCUCUUGGGAAAUCUCACGGCUUAACUGUGAGGCGUCUAAGAGAUACUGGGAAUCUAGGGACCGGGAGAGGUAAGAGGUACUUCAGGGGUAGAAGUGAAAUUCUGUAAUCCUUGAGGGACCACCGAUGGCGAAGGCAUCUUACCAGAACGGCUUCGACAGUGAGGAACGAAAGCUGGGGGAGCGAACGGGAUUAGAUACCCCGGUAGUCCCAGCCGUAAACUAUGCGCGUUAGGUGUGCCUGUAACUACGAGUUACCGGGGUGCCGAAGUGAAAACGU